This 727-nucleotide ribosomal RNA is filed under the name Pseudomonas sp. Its description in RNAcentral is "bacterial SSU rRNA". It matches the Rfam family "Bacterial small subunit ribosomal RNA", at positions 113 to 836 of the family's 1533-position model. The record is from RNAcentral. Lineage: Bacteria; Pseudomonadati; Pseudomonadota; Gammaproteobacteria; Pseudomonadales; Pseudomonadaceae.
AUGCCUAGGAAUCUGCCUGGUAGUGGGGGAUAACGUUCGGAAACGGACGCUAAUACCGCAUACGUCCUACGGGAGAAAGCAGGGGACCUUCGGGCCUUGCGCUAUCAGAUGAGCCUAGGUCGGAUUAGCUAGUUGGUGGGGUAAUGGCUCACCAAGGCGACGAUCCGUAACUGGUCUGAGAGGAUGAUCAGUCACACUGGAACUGAGACACGGUCCAGACUCCUACGGGAGGCAGCAGUGGGGAAUAUUGGACAAUGGGCGAAAGCCUGAUCCAGCCAUGCCGCGUGUGUGAAGAAGGUCUUCGGAUUGUAAAGCACUUUAAGUUGGGAGGAAGGGUUGUAGAUUAAUACUCUGCAAUUUUGACGUUACCGACAGAAUAAGCACCGGCUAACUCUGUGCCAGCAGCCGCGGUAAUACAGAGGGUGCAAGCGUUAAUCGGAAUUACUGGGCGUAAAGCGCGCGUAGGUGGUUUGUUAAGUUGGAUGUGAAAUCCCCGGGCUCAACCUGGGAACUGCAUUCAAAACUGACUGACUAGAGUAUGGUAGAGGGUGGUGGAAUUUCCUGUGUAGCGGUGAAAUGCGUAGAUAUAGGAAGGAACACCAGUGGCGAAGGCGACCACCUGGACUAAUACUGACACUGAGGUGCGAAAGCGUGGGGAGCAAACAGGAUUAGAUACCCUGGUAGUCCACGCCGUAAACGAUGUCAACUAGCCGUUGGAAGCCUUGAG